UGCACCGGCAGAACUCACUUGACCUUGACGCUCUGCUUGCCUCUCCGUGCAUCAUGAACCCCUAUUUGUGCAGAUCACUCUGCCUGGAGAAAAAAAGGGCUGAGAGUUGCGCCUUUUCCUUCUCUCAAUCAGUUUAAAGAAGUCCACAUUUUUCUCCACCCAGGAAGAAUCACAAAAUUCUAGGGCAGGAAGAAAACGUGGAAGCUUCUUCUCCCCACACUGAAGGCUUGGGUGGAAUUUGCAGAAGCCCCUCCCAGGAGCUAUAAGUAGCUCUUUGGAACAAGAACUUUUCCCAGUCCUGGGUGAGACCCACGUCUUUCUAAUAGGUGUUUCCCUGACUUUGGGUAAGCCCAUCUCACUCAAGCAUAGAAUGUGAACUCCACUGGAGCUCUGUCUUGUUCAUCACCAUGGACCCAGCUCCUGGGCAAACUUCUUGACUGUGAGAUAGAAAAUUCAGAAUCCUUUUCAAGGUACCCGAACAAACUACCAUUGGCCAGUUACCACCUCAGACCACCUAUGUUCCUCAACCAGUGAUUGGUCUACCAUUCAGAGACAUUCACAGAGAGACCAUUCCUACUCUAAUAGAAACCUUCUGACAUUACUUCACUCAGUGAGGAGGUGAGGAAUGGAGCGAGGGGGUUCUUGAAGAAUGUUCUAAUGAGUCUCUUCCCUUGAUACCUCAACUGGGUUGUUCCUUCAUAGCUGGUGAGAUGGGAACAGGUGAUGUCAACACAAGGUGUUUGGAGUAAGGCUCAAAGCAACAGCAGGACUCCACUCUCAUGAAUAUAAAUAACUGAAGAGAAUUUGCAUAGGGUAAGGAUUUAUUGAACACACAAGAUGGCACUAAGGGGAUUGAAUUAGGUUUUGAUGGUAUGUAACAAAUUACCCAAACUUCAUGGUUUAAAACAACACUCAUUUAUUA
Long non-coding RNA from Mustela erminea (ermine), 922 nucleotides. RefSeq lists it as uncharacterized. The record is from RefSeq and is a predicted model, not a curated record. Lineage: Eukaryota; Metazoa; Chordata; Mammalia; Carnivora; Mustelidae. The transcript has 4 exons.